This 460-nucleotide ribosomal RNA is filed under the name uncultured bacterium. RNAcentral describes it as "partial 16S ribosomal RNA". It matches the Rfam family "Bacterial small subunit ribosomal RNA", at positions 338 to 795 of the family's 1533-position model. The record is from RNAcentral.
CCUACGGGUGGCAGCAGUGAGGAAUAUUGGUCAAUGGACGAGAGUCUGAACCAGCCAAGUAGCGUGAAGGAUGACUGCCCUAUGGGUUGUAAACUUCUUUUAUAUGGGAAUAAAAUGUUCCACGUGUGGGAUUUUGUAUGUACCAUAUGAAUAAGGAUCGGCUAACUCCGUGCCAGCAGCCGCGGUAAUACGGAGGAUCCGAGCGUUAUCCGGAUUUAUUGGGUUUAAAGGGAGCGUAGGUGGAUUGUUAAGUCAGUUGUGAAAGUUUGCGGCUCAACCGUAAAAUUGCAGUUGAAACUGGCAGUCUUGAGUACAGUAGAGGUGGGCGGAAUUCGUGGUGUAGCGGUGAAAUGCGUAGAUAUCACGAAGAACUCCGAUGGCGAAGGCAGUUCACUGGACUGCAACUGACACUGAGGCUCGAAAGUGUGGGUAUCAAACAGGAUUAGAUACCCCAGUAGUC